This 229-nucleotide unclassified non-coding RNA is filed under the name Hevea brasiliensis (rubber tree). Lineage: Eukaryota; Viridiplantae; Streptophyta; Magnoliopsida; Malpighiales; Euphorbiaceae. The record is from RNAcentral.
GAACACCAAUCUCGCUGGUUUCACGGCCACUGCUGUCCCUUUUGGAGCUUCAAUUGUUGGCUGAUAAACCGCGUUUGGCUGACCCACAUUGGUCACAGUUCUGAUAAACGCCAUGCUUGUUGCUCCAACUGAUAAGCUUGGAAACAAUGCUGUAAUUGACGGAUAGUUGAGGUUCUCAGGUAAAGGCCUCUUCGCCGGACAAGUUACUGGUGAUCGCGUGAUCACCUGA